GAAAGAUAUUUUUUCGUCAAGUCUGUCGAAACAAGUUGUCUACAUUUAUUUUAUUUUUCUCGUUGCUUAUCAGGGAGUUCCGGAGGACCCUGGAUUUAGUCGCCGAUCCCAUUCCGGGAUAUUGCCCAUACUGCAGUAUUACUUCGCUUCAAUGAUUCCCAGAGUUGUCACAGGAGAACGACAGUUGAGCCCAACUAGAGGUUACAACCAUGUACUAGCACUUGAUUGCACCAGCAAUGACGGUUCCUGCACAUGGAUCAAUCCGGAAUACUGCAAAGAUUCAGAAAGCUUCUGCGGAAACACUGCGGAAUGUCUGGUCGUCACAAAAUCAGUCAACUCGUCAUACUCAUUCGAGAUGAACUCUUCAUACAACCAUCAAUACCAGUGCCGGUGUCCUGUCGGCAAUACGAAUAACUGCAACCCACCAAACGUGGAACUCAACUGUAUAACACUUGAGCCAACGAACACUAAUGUGAGCAUUGAGGUCGAGAAUGGUUUCCUUUUAAACGUCGUUUACGCCGAAAUGUGGAGGUGUCCCGUUGGAGAUAAUUCCGUCAUGCAGUGUCCAUCAAGAAGGUUGACAGGAAAUGAACUGGGAUGUAAGAGUCCCCCUCAGCUUCUCCCAAAUGUGUUUGCCCUCGUACGAUUUUGGUGUCAGUUCAAAAAAACGACGUGCAAGUUCGAUUCAUCGCUAAUUCUGUCCCAUGUUGGUCAAUCAAUCCAGUUACCAGAGCAAUCUGCGUUACCAGAACACUAUAUCUUUGAAUCGGGAAGUGGAAUGGUUAGUAGUGCAAAUUUCUCCUGUGGGAAUUCUUCACAGACCGUUUUCGAUGAUGAUUCCUGUUAUACGUUGACACCGACGAACCUCGAAUGGGGAGUUGCCCGAUCGCAUUGUCUUCAGCUUGGAGGUGACUUGGCUCAUUUUACGGAAGAUACAAAUUUUGCCUCUAUUCUGCGACGUUUGGACAAAUCCACUCCGUCAAAUAUUACAUAUUUGACCGCUGUUCAUAUAUGGUUCAAAUGGUAUACAUGGACUGGGGAUCAGCGUAUGCCACAACACUUCCAGCAGUAUACGGAUAGAUUCCAAUGCCCCGUUUACGAUUUUUUGCCGGAAGAGGGGACUAAUGCACUAGCUGGAUGCGAAGCCGGAACAAGAUCUAAAAACGUCCGCGGACUUUGCGUUUUUUCGCCAAGGCCAUGGACGUUGUCUUGUCCGGCCAAAUGCGACGUCUCCGGGUAUCCAGGCUACUGUUGGACAGAAGCAGAGGCCGAUACCAAGGUCUCAACUAGUUGCCCGAACGGAUUAAAUGGUAAUGCAACGUGGACUUGCGGUAUUGAUGGUAAAUGGACAACUCAAUCUCCUGACCUGAGCAACUGUACAAAUCCCGUUGUUGAAGAUUCAAUCAAUCAAGUCAACAAUGAUAUUGCAAACGGCGAAGAUCCAAGCGAGUCAUUGAAUAGUCUCACUAAUGUCGUCAAGGAAAACGGAAUAGCGCCGGGAAACCUUGUGCAGCUUGACCAGACAGUCAGCUUUGCUAUUGAACAGCAGACUUCACUAAUGGCUAAUACGACAGACGCGAGUUUGAGAGAGGAGAGCUGCAAGAAUUUCACUAUUUCUGUAAUUGAUUUAAAUGGUGUUGUGUUGGGAAGUGCCAGCGCAUUUUGGGGUUUGAAUUGGGAAGCACGCAGCGAAGCUAUCAGUGAAGUGCAAAAGAACGUUGACGACACCUUAUUUUUACUGGCGGAAAAUCUCCUUGAUAAAGUUUAUCAAUACGGCAAUAUAAGUGAUCAAAACAUAGCUAUACAGGUAGAGAACAAAGAGCAAACAGAAUACAACGAUACAACGUAUGCCUACGUUGCAGCAGAUGAAGAUCAACUGAUUCUUCCAGCCGGAUUUCCCGAUUCGACCAAUACCACCAAUACCCGACUUUCUUUUGUCACUUAUAACGCAUUUCAGGACCUUCUCUAUGGUGAUACAUUGGCUCAACUGUCAGCGGAGAACCCAACCACAUUCGAACCAAUUGGACAAGUCGUGGUGACAAAAGUGCUGGGUGCUACACUUGGUCAACCAAACGGAUCUAUCCAUUUUGUGGACGGAAAGGUCGAAAUUCUCCUGAGUACUUUGAAUCUUGAUCGAUAUGAAGUUAAUGAGGUGAAUGCAACUUGCGUAUUUUGGGAUACUUUGACUCAAGAAUGGUCAUCCGAGGGGUGUGAAGUGGUGAAAACUAACGGUACAUCAACCACAUGCCAGUGCGAUCACUUAACCAAUUUUGCAGUUUUAAUGGAUAUCAACGGCCUCUUUAAAAACGAGACGAAACCCGACUACCCCGCACUAGAUUACAUCACCAUAAUCGGCGGAAGCAUUUCUAUCGUUUGCUUGACGUUGGCUGUCAUUAUCUUUUACUGGAAGCUACUACCAACCGAGAUCUCUGCCUAUCCAUCGCCGUAUUCCUGCACUUUUUUUUCCUCUGCGCUUUCAGCUGGAUGGUUGUGGAGGGUCUUUAUCUCUAUUUCCUCAUCACUAAAGUUUUCGAUGGAAGUGGAUUGAAACAGUGGCAGUACUACGUCAUCGGGUACGGAGUACCUGUUUUAACUCUUACCAUUACUCUAGCCGUAACCAAAACGGAAGCUUACCUCGGUGAUCCUCUUUCAUAUUGCUGGUUAAGUUAUGAAAAUGGGGCAAUAUGGGCCUUUGCUGGACCGGUUGCAGCCGUUGUUUUU
RNAcentral lists this unclassified non-coding RNA (2721 nucleotides) under Daphnia pulex (common water flea). RNAcentral's name for it is "adhesion G protein-coupled receptor L3-like, transcript variant X1". Lineage: Eukaryota; Metazoa; Arthropoda; Branchiopoda; Diplostraca; Daphniidae. The record is from RNAcentral.